UGAGGAAUAUUGGUCAAUGGACGAGAGUCUGAACCAGCCAAGUAGCGUGAAGGAUGAAGGUUCUAUGGAUUGUAAACUUCUUUUAUACGGGAAUAAACGAAUCCACGCGUGGAUUUUUGCAUGUACCGUAUGAAUAAGGAUCGGCUAACUCCGUGCCAGCAGCCGCGGUAAUACGGAGGAUCCGAGCGUUAUCCGGAUUUAUUGGGUUUAAAGGGAGCGUAGAUGGGUUGUUAAGUCAGUUGUGAAAGUUUGCGGCUCAACCGUAAAAUUGCAAUUGAUACUGGCAGUCUUGAGUACAGUUGAGGUAGGCGGAAUUCGUGGUGUAGCGGUGAAAUGCUUAGAUAUCACGAAGAACUCCGAUUGCGAAGGCAGCUUACUAACCUGUAACUGACAUUGAUGCUCGAAAGUGUGGGUAUCAAACAGGAUUAGAUACCCUGGUAGUCCACACGGUAAACGAUGAAUACUCGCUGUAGGCGAUAUACAGUCUGCGGCCAAGCGAAAGCAUUAAGUAUUCCACCUGGGGAGUACGCCGGCAACGGUGAAACUCAAAGGAAUUGACGGGGGCCCGCACAAGCGGAGGAACAUGUGGUUUAAUUCGAUGAUACGCGAGGAACCUUACCCGGGCUUAAAUUGCAACCGAAUAUGGCGGAAACGCUAUAACUAGCAAUAGCGGUUGUGAAGGUGCUGCAUGGUUGUCGUCAGCUCGUGCCGUGAGGUGUCGGCUUAAGUGCCAUAACGAGCGCAACCCUUGCCGAUAGUUACUAACAGGUUAUGCUGAGGACUCUGUCGGGACUGCCAUCGUAAGAUGUGAGGAAGGUGGGGAUGACGUCAAAUCAGCACGGCCCUUACGUCCGGGGCUACACACGUGUUACAAUGGGGGGUACAGAGGGCUGCUACCACGCAAGUGGAUGCCAAUCCCAAAAACCUCUCUCAGUUCGGAUUGAAGUCUGCAACCCGACUUCAUGAAGCUGGAUUCGCUAGUAAUCGCGCAUCAGCCACGGCGCGGUGAAUACGUUCCC
This 1019-nucleotide ribosomal RNA is filed under the name uncultured organism. RNAcentral describes it as "bacterial SSU rRNA". It matches the Rfam family "Bacterial small subunit ribosomal RNA", at positions 355 to 1375 of the family's 1533-position model. The record is from RNAcentral.